RNAcentral lists this ribosomal RNA (468 nucleotides) under uncultured bacterium. RNAcentral's name for it is "partial 16S ribosomal RNA". It matches the Rfam family "Bacterial small subunit ribosomal RNA", at positions 28 to 507 of the family's 1533-position model. The record is from RNAcentral.
GACGAACGCUGGCGGCGUGCUUAACACAUGCAAGUCGAACGGAAAGGCCCUGCUUUUGUGGGGUGCUCGAGUGGCGAACGGGUGAGUAACACGUGAGUAACCUGCCCUUGACUUUGGGAUAACUUCAGGAAACUGGGGCUAAUACCGGAUAGGAGCUCCUGCUGCAUGGUGGGGGUUGGAAAGUUUCGGCGGUUGGGGAUUGACUCGCGGCUUAUCAGCUUGUUGGUGGGGUAGUGGCUUACCAAGGCUUUGACGGGUAGCCGGCCUGAGAGGGUGACCGGCCACAUUGGGACUGAGAUACGGCCCAGACUCCUACGGGAGGCAGCAGUGGGGAAUAUUGAACAAUGGACGGAAGCCUGAUGCAGCAACGCCGCGUGCGGGAUGACGGCCUUCGGGUUGUAAACCGCUUUCGCCUGUGACGAAGCGUGAGUGACGGUAAUGGGUAAAGAAGCACCGGCUAACUACGUG